This is a non-coding RNA of Cicer arietinum (chickpea), 410 nucleotides long. The record is from RefSeq and is a predicted model, not a curated record. NCBI's taxonomy places the organism in Eukaryota, Viridiplantae, Streptophyta, Magnoliopsida, Fabales, Fabaceae.
UUAUAAAUGAGUAGCUAUGUUUUCCAAAAUACUACUUUAAUUUCUGUCUCUUUUUUUCAUUUCAUCGGCGCCGUUUCCCAAAGACUACUUUAGUCUUUAUCUCUGCCUCUUUCAUUUUUGUCUCAAUCUUGAGCUUUGAAUUAGAUCUAAAAAGAUUCUUUCAUUAUUUAUCAAUUUGAUCUUCAUUCAUAUAAUAGAUAUGUUAUUAUAUUUGAAUAGAUGAUGAUGAUAUGUUCGGGAGGGUUACAUACAUCAAGAUCCAUGAACGAGAUGACAAAACACAAAUCAAAGACUAUCGAUCUAUCCGUGAUCAAAUGGAAUUCGUUAACAUUUUCUCAUAUUUCCAUGUGUUUUUACUCAAUUGUUCGAUUUGGGAAGGUUUUGAAUGUUUCUCUUACGAUUGUGAUUUC